AUAACCCUUUGUGAACAUACCUACAACUGUUGCUUCGGCGGGUAGGCCGUCCCCUGAAAAGGACGCCUCCCGGCCCGGACCGGACCCCCCGCGGGACCGGACCCGGCGCCCGCCGGAGGAUAACCAAACUCUAUUGUAACGACGUUUCUUCUGAGUGGCAUAAGCAAAAUAAUCAAAACUUUUAACAACGGAUCUCUUGGUUCUGGCAUCGAUGAAGAACGCAGCGAAAUGCGAUAAGUAAUGUGAAUUGCAGAAUUCAGUGAAUCAUCGAAUCUUUGAACGCACAUUGCGCCCGCCAGCAUUCUGGCGGGCAUGCCUGUUCGAGCGUCAUUUCAACCCUCAAGCUCUGCUUGGUGUUGGGGCUCUACGGUCGACGUAGGCCCUCAAAGGUAGUGGCGGACCCUCCCGGAGCCUCCUUUGCGUAGUAACAUUUCGUCUCGCACUGGGAUCCGGAGGGACUCUUGCCGUAAAACCCCCCAAUUUUCCAAAGGUGACCUCGGAUCAGGUAGAAAUGCCCCCG
Molecule: ribosomal RNA, 520 nt
Filed under: Colletotrichum karsti
Lineage: Eukaryota; Fungi; Ascomycota; Sordariomycetes; Glomerellales; Glomerellaceae
Description: eukaryotic LSU rRNA
Rfam family: 5.8S ribosomal RNA (bases 177-330)
Source: RNAcentral